RNAcentral lists this unclassified non-coding RNA (240 nucleotides) under Hevea brasiliensis (rubber tree). The record is from RNAcentral. Lineage: Eukaryota; Viridiplantae; Streptophyta; Magnoliopsida; Malpighiales; Euphorbiaceae.
CUGCUUCUGGGCUUUUUAUUAGAUUCUCAAUGACGAAGAUAAAUAUAGAAACAACUUGAAGAUUUCGAAAGGGACCACUUCUAGCUGAAUCCAUACGCUGAUAGGACUCCGUUGCAGCUUUUAAUUGUACAUCAUCUAGUGCCAUCAAAACAUCCAGCUCUUUUAUACACGAUGCAAAAGUAAAAGGGAACUCGUCCAAACUGGAUUUUAAGAAGAAGAAACUUAUUGUUCUAAUGAAAA